Molecule: long non-coding RNA, 249 nt
Filed under: Lathyrus oleraceus (garden pea)
Lineage: Eukaryota; Viridiplantae; Streptophyta; Magnoliopsida; Fabales; Fabaceae
Description: Pisum sativum (pea) long non-coding RNA (PSAT_LNC020366)
Source: RNAcentral
UCAAACCAAAGCCAAAACAACACUCAACAUGUCUAGAAAUAGUGUGCAAAAAUUCAGGAGCAUUGGAUAAGAAUCAAGCAUUUCAUGAUCAAAUGAAGUUCAAGGAAAUUUUAAAGCUCAAAUGUGACCAACCAGAAUGAAAAAUCUCAAUUAAAUCAGAAAUGAAUCAAAAAAUUCCAAGCAAAUUCAUGAGUAGUCAUAACAUCCAUAUCAAGCAUCACACAAAAAAUCAGAACAAUUGGAGUUCAU